Sorex araneus (European shrew) is the source of this 167-nucleotide small nucleolar RNA. The record is from Ensembl. NCBI's taxonomy places the organism in Eukaryota, Metazoa, Chordata, Mammalia, Eulipotyphla, Soricidae.
CCAGGCUCGGGGGCAAGAGACACCUGCAGCUAACAGCAGUGUCUGCUCUGCAUUCAGGUCUGCUGCCCACACGAACCUCAUGUAGCCAGAGAAUAAACUGGGGUCACUGUAGUGCUGUUUCUGUGGACAUAACUACCACAGGCCAGCCUUCAAAUUCCCACGGAGAA